RNAcentral lists this ribosomal RNA (628 nucleotides) under Streptomyces sp. di188. RNAcentral describes it as "bacterial LSU rRNA". It matches the Rfam family "Bacterial large subunit ribosomal RNA", at positions 2299 to 2925 of the family's 2925-position model. Lineage: Bacteria; Bacillati; Actinomycetota; Actinomycetes; Kitasatosporales; Streptomycetaceae. The record is from RNAcentral.
AACGGAGGCGCCCAAAGGUUCCCUCAGCCUGGUUGGCAAUCAGGUGUUGAGUGUAAGUGCACAAGGGAGCUUGACUGUGAGACCGACGGGUCGAGCAGGGACGAAAGUCGGGACUAGUGAUCCGGCGGUGGCUUGUGGAAGCGCCGUCGCUCAACGGAUAAAAGGUACCCCGGGGAUAACAGGCUGAUCUUCCCCAAGAGUCCAUAUCGACGGGAUGGUUUGGCACCUCGAUGUCGGCUCGUCGCAUCCUGGGGCUGGAGUCGGUCCCAAGGGUUGGGCUGUUCGCCCAUUAAAGCGGUACGCGAGCUGGGUUUAGAACGUCGUGAGACAGUUCGGUCCCUAUCCGCUGUGCGCGUAGGAGUCUUGAGAAGGGCUGUCCCUAGUACGAGAGGACCGGGACGGACGAACCUCUGGUGUGCCAGUUGUUCUGCCAAGGGCAUGGCUGGUUGGCUACGUUCGGGAGGGAUAACCGCUGAAAGCAUCUAAGCGGGAAGCCUGCUUCGAGAUGAGGGCUCCCACCCACUUGAUGGGGUAAGGCUCCCAGUAGACGACUGGGUUGAUAGGCCGGAUAUGGAAGCACGGUAACGUGUGGAGUUGACCGGUACUAAUAGGCCGAGGGCUUGUCCUC